Molecule: ribosomal RNA, 93 nt
Filed under: Tribulus lanuginosus
Lineage: Eukaryota; Viridiplantae; Streptophyta; Magnoliopsida; Zygophyllales; Zygophyllaceae
Description: partial 18S ribosomal RNA
Source: RNAcentral
CGCAACUUUUUCCCUGUCCCCCGGUCUUUAGCGCUCGCGGGAUGCGUUCACGCUCUCCCCGGGGGCUUGGCACCCGCGCGUUGCGUUAUCGGA